AUUAGUCAAUGGUUGACUGACCGCAUUCAAAUAAUUUUGUGCUUUUGGUUGUUUGUCUGCGCUUCUUUCUAU
RNAcentral lists this non-coding RNA (72 nucleotides) under Prosthecochloris aestuarii DSM 271. Its description in RNAcentral is "Chlorobi-RRM RNA". It matches the Rfam family "Chlorobi-RRM RNA". Lineage: Bacteria; Pseudomonadati; Chlorobiota; Chlorobiia; Chlorobiales; Chlorobiaceae. The record is from RNAcentral.